This 726-nucleotide ribosomal RNA is filed under the name uncultured Gammaproteobacteria bacterium. RNAcentral's name for it is "bacterial SSU rRNA". It matches the Rfam family "Bacterial small subunit ribosomal RNA", at positions 8 to 729 of the family's 1533-position model. The record is from RNAcentral. Lineage: Bacteria; Pseudomonadati; Pseudomonadota; Gammaproteobacteria.
AGAGUUUGAUCCUGGCUCAGACUGUACGCUGGCGGCAGGCCUAACACAUGCAAGUCGAGCGGAUGAGUGGAGCUUGCUCCAUGAUUCAGCGGCGGACGGGUGAGUAAUGCCUAGGAAUCUGCCUGGUAGUGGGGGACAACGUUUCGAAAGGAACGCUAAUACCGCAUACGUCCUACGGGAGAAAGCAGGGGACCUUCGGGCCUUGCGCUAUCAGAUGAGCCUAGGUCGGAUUAGCUAGUAGGUGAGGUAAAGGCUCACCUAGGCGACGAUCCGUAACUGGUCUGAGAGGAUGAUCAGUCACACUGGAACUGAGACACGGUCCAGACUCCUACGGGAGGCAGCAGUGGGGAAUAUUGGACAAUGGACGAAAGCCUGAUCCAGCCAUGCCGCGUGUGUGAAGAAGGUCUUCGGAUUGUAAAGCACUUUAAGUUGGGAGGAAGGGCAGUAAGUUAAUACCUUGCUGUUUUGACGUUACCAACAGAAUAAGCACCGGCUAACUUCGUGCCAGCAGCCGCGGUAAUACGAAGGGUGCAAGCGCUAAUCGGAAUUACUGGGCGUAAAGCGCGCGUAGGUGGUUCAGCAAGUUGGAGGUGAAAUCCCCGGGCUCAACCUGGGAACUGCCUCCAAAACUACUGAGCUAGAGUACGGUAGAGGGUAGUGGAAUUUCCUGUGUAGCGGUGAAAUGCGUAGAUAUAGGAAGGAACACCAGUGGCGAAGGCGACUACC